Molecule: ribosomal RNA, 253 nt
Filed under: uncultured bacterium
Lineage: Bacteria
Description: partial 16S ribosomal RNA
Rfam family: Bacterial small subunit ribosomal RNA
Source: RNAcentral
UACGAGGGGGGCGAGCGUUGUUCGGAAUUAUUGGGCGUAAAGGGUGCGUAGGCGGUUUGGUAAGUCUUGUGUGAAAUCUACAGGCUCAACUUGUAGUCUGCACGAGAAACUGCCGGGCUUGAGUAUGGGAGAGGUGAGUGGAAUUCCUGGUGUAGCGGUGAAAUGCGCAGAUAUCAGGAGGAACACCGGUGGCGAAGGCGGGUCUCUGGGUAGUAACUGACGCUGAGGAACGAAAGCGUGGGUAGCGAACAGG